RNAcentral lists this ribosomal RNA (465 nucleotides) under uncultured bacterium. RNAcentral's name for it is "partial 16S ribosomal RNA". It matches the Rfam family "Bacterial small subunit ribosomal RNA", at positions 338 to 795 of the family's 1533-position model. The record is from RNAcentral.
CCUACGGGAGGCUGCAGUAGGGAAUUUUCGUCAAUGGGCGCAAGCCUGAACGAGCAAUGCCGCGUGAACGAGGAAGGUCUUCGGAUCGUAAAGUUCUGUUGAAGGGGAAAAAGAGCGGAGAGAGGAAAUGCUUUCUGCUUGAUAUUACCCUUCGAGGAAGUCACGGCUAACUACGUGCCAGCAGCCGCGGUAAUACGUAGGUGGCGAGCGUUAUCCGGAAUGAGUGGGCGUAAAGGGUGCGUAGGCGGCCUGCUAAGUCUGGAGUGAAAGGUAACGGAUCAACCGGUACAGGCUCUGGAAACUGGCGGGCUAGAGAGCAGGAGAGGGCGGUGGAACCCCAUGUGUAGCGGUAAAAUGCGUAGAUAUAUGGAAGAACACCAGUGGCGAAGGCGGCCGCCUGGCCUGUUAACUGACGCUGAGGCACGAAAGCGUGGGGAGCAAAUAGGAUUAGAUACCCGAGUAGUC